UACGUAGGGUGCGAGCGUUGUCCGGAAUUAUUGGGCGUAAAGGGCUCGUAGGCGGUCUGUUGCGUCGGGAGUGAAAACUCAGGGCUUAACCCUGAGCCUGCCUCCGAUACGGGCAGACUAGAGGUAUGCAGGGGAGAACGGAAUUCCUGGUGUAGCGGUGAAAUGCGCAGAUAUCAGGAGGAACACCGGUGGCGAAGGCGGGACUCUGGGCCGAUACUGACGCUGAGGAGCGAAAGCGUGGGGAGCGAACAGG
RNAcentral lists this ribosomal RNA (253 nucleotides) under uncultured bacterium. Its description in RNAcentral is "partial 16S ribosomal RNA". It matches the Rfam family "Bacterial small subunit ribosomal RNA", at positions 524 to 776 of the family's 1533-position model. The record is from RNAcentral.